RNAcentral lists this transfer RNA (72 nucleotides) under Camelus bactrianus (Bactrian camel). It matches the Rfam family "tRNA". Rfam says of the family: Transfer RNA (tRNA) molecules are approximately 80 nucleotides in length. Their secondary structure includes four short double-helical elements and three loops (D, anti-codon, and T loops). Further hydrogen bonds mediate the characteristic L-shaped molecular structure. tRNAs have two regions of fundamental functional importance: the anti-codon, which is responsible for specific mRNA codon recognition, and the 3' end, to which the tRNAs corresponding amino acid is attached (by aminoacyl-tRNA synthetases). tRNAs cope with the degeneracy of the genetic code in two manners: having more than one tRNA (with a specific anti-codon) for a particular amino acid; and 'wobble' base-pairing, i.e. permitting non-standard base-pairing at the 3rd anti-codon position. The record is from Rfam by way of RNAcentral. RNAcentral also lists the same sequence under 2 other names. Lineage: Eukaryota; Metazoa; Chordata; Mammalia; Artiodactyla; Camelidae.
GAGGGUACAGCUCAGUGGUAGAGGGCGUGCCUUACGUGCACAAGAUCCUGGGUUCAAUCCCCAGUACUACCA